AAUGACAUUAACUAGGAAAGGCUCCCUCAAACUCCAACUCGCAUACAACACCUCCAACUUUCGGUUGUAUCACCACCUCUAGUGGGCGGCGCCUCUUCCAUUGCGCAUUUUCAAUUUGGGGGACUUCCAACCACUUCUUCUCUGCCGCUGCUAUACCGGUGUUGACGACAGUGACGUUUACAUGUUGUUGGACUUGGUUUGUUUUAAAACAUCCCAAACCAUGGUAUGAGCUUGGUUGAUUUUCUACAUCCAUAACAUUGUGAAUCAUCACAAUUAUGGGAACCAGGGCGGCAUUGAAGUGGUCGAAGAAAAUUACAACAUCACAAGUGGAACAGCUCAUUCGAGCUGAAAAGGACUUGGCUAAAGCCAUUGUGAUAUUUGAUUCAGCAACAGCUGAGUACAAAAAUGGCUAUAAACAUGACCAUACAACUUUUGGGCGUAUGAUAUCUAGAUUAGUCUCUGCCAACCAGUUUAGACCUGCAGAGGAGCUCCUUGGAAAAAUGAAGGAAGAGAAGUGUGAGAUUAAUGAAGACAUAUUCCUCUCCAUUUUGAGAGGAUAUGGUCGGGUUCAUAAGCCAUUGGAGGCCAUUCGAAUUUUUGAGAGCGCAAAAGGAUAUGAAUGCAAACUCACCGAGAAGUCUUACAUAACUCUAUUUUCCUUACUCGUUGAUGAAAACGAGUUAAAGAUGGCCAUGAGGUUUUACCGCUAUAUGAAGGAAUUGGGUAUUCCACCAACUGUUGUUUCUCUUAACAUCUUGAUCAAAGCCCUAUGCAAAAGCAGUGGGACAAUUGAUGCUGCCUCUAAUAUAUUCCGUGAAAUGCCACUUCGUGGAUGUCCUCCGGAUUCAUAUACUUAUGGUACAUUGAUUAGUGGGUUGUGUAAAUGGGGAAGAAUUGAUGAAGCAAAUGAACUUUUCAGAGAAAUGGAGGCAAAAGGUUGUCUACCAACUGUUGUUACCUACACUACUUUGAUACAUGGUCUGUGUAAAUCUGAAAAGUUAGGUGAUGCUCUGACAUUGUUUGAGGAGAUGAGAAGCAAAAACAUUAAGCCAAAUGUGUUUACCUACAGUGCUUUGAUGGAUGGUCUUUGCAAGCAUGACCGUUCUUUACAUGCCUUGGGUCUAUUGGAUGUGAUGGUUCGCCAAAAUCUUUCUCCAAACAUGAUUACUUAUAGUACUUUAAUUUAUGGACUUUGUAAAGAUGGAAAUCUUUGUGAAGCUUUAGAGAUUUUUGAUAGAAUGAAACUUCAAGGUCUGAAACCUGAUGCCGCAUUGUAUGGUAAGAUCAUAAGGGGAUUCUGUGACUUGAGAAAGUUCCAGGAGGCUGCCAAUUUCCUCGAGGAAAUGGUCCUUGCUGGAAUCUCACUCAAUAGGUUAACUUGGACCAUUCAUGUUAGGACUCAUACCAUUGUCAUACAAGGACUUUGUGAGGUUGAUCUCAUUCGAGCGUUCCGUUUGUACCUGAGUAUGAGAACAAGAGGGCUCUCUGUUGAACCUGAAGUAUUUAUUUCACUUAUCAAAGGCUUCUGCAAGAAAGGAGACCUGCACAAAACUUGCCGCGUUGUUGAUGAGAUGGUUUGUGAUGGCUGUCUACCAGAUAAGGAGUUAUGGAAGGCUAUCUUAGAAGUUUUUCUUGAUCAGAAAAAGAUGGUGGAGUCUGUUGAAAGCUUCCAGGUGCUGUUGUUACAGAAUAUUGAUGAGCUUGAGAAGUUGUCUGUAGAUUAGAAUACCUUUGAAAUGGAAUGGUGUGUGACCAUAAGUGCAUAGCAGUUCAGCAGGUUCAGGUUCUUGUUAGUUCAACUUGUUAGUAACUUUUGGCUUUUAAGAAUGAUCUUGAAUGAACAUAUCUCCUGCAAGGUGGGUUGCUAUUUACAGGUUUGUUUUCCUUUGUUCUUUUUUUGCGACACUGUUCUAAAUCUAAGGUUUGCCAUUUAUUCUUCUAUUUAUCCAUUGAAGGCACUAAAAAUAGAAGCGACUCAAGUGAGGAACUUUUAAUUUGACAAAGUGGGUUCUGAACUGGAGCAUGUGAUCAGGUGCAAAAUAUACCUUAGCCUGGUUGUUUUGUUUUUUGAGGGAAAUCCUGAUUGUUUUGUUAGUUACAAUGUUAAAAAUAAAGGUGUUUUGUCAGAGGUCGCCAUAUAAUGACAUAUUAAGAAAACAGAUCAAAUCAAAGAAGUAUUGCUUGCUAUUGGAAUUAUCUAAAAUCUAAAUGCAAAUUAAUGUGACUAGACUACUAGAGUUGUGAAUUCACUACUGCCUUGUGGCUGCACUAUUGUGCUAGUUUCCUAUUGAUAUCUAGGGGUUCUUAAUUAUUCAGAGCUUCUGCCACGCAAAGAUAAUUACUGUCUAUGAAAACGGAAUGCAGAGGUUAAGCUUUAUUUUCCCCUUUAUUUCUAAGUUUUAUUUUAUAUCACUGGGAAUCACAUGGAACCUUUCUGUUUUGAACAAUUUGCUAGUAUUUCUUGAUAAUUUCAUCAAAAUGAUAUAAGCUUCUGUUUAAAACAACUAUGAUUUAGCUGUUUGUCUCUAUUGCAGAGUUAUAUUGCGGUAAACUUGUCUUCGUCCUUCUCUCUCUCUUUCCGUAUUGUGUGACUUAUUGAUUUUCUAAUACACGCUGUAAUAAGAUGAACUGAUCUUAUUAGAGCAUCAUACAAGGUGAAUGGAGAAAGAGAAGCAGGUGGAGCUAUAUACAAUAGAAUGCGUGUAAUGGAAAUAUACAAUUUGGAAUAUUAGUCACGGCAAACCAAUUUAUCAAUUUGCAGUUAGGGGGAAACCAAUCCCAUGGCGAUGUGUAGGGAAUGCUACAAACAGCAUACUGCAAAGGACUCCUAUUCCAACAGGUAGUGCUGUAAGAAUCUCCUGGGUCUCUUUUGAUGGCGUUGGAUAGAAGCAUUGAACCGUGUUCUUAUCAAAUAAGGCAAUUGCUGCAAAAACGAAUACUGACAUGAAAGCAUGUAGAAAAUCUAUGAACCGGAGACGGUACUUAGCAGCAAGUUGGGAUGGAAUUGUUGUUGACCCAUCUAUGACCCACAGACCGUUGAAAGUGGCGAACCCGUAGUAGAUAUUCCCAUCGUUGUCCUUGAAGCAGUCAGUGAAGCUUAGUAGGAAAGAUGACAACCCACAAAAAGCAAUUAGGAUGGAAGUAAUCGUUCUGCUGACCGGGUCACAUUCACCUUGGUUUGUGAAAACCGGUGCGAGAAGCUGGAAGGCCAUAACUGUUCCAGUUGGUAGUAAAUUGGCCAAGUGAGCCGUGCUCUGAAAUGUCUGGCUGAUGGCUUGCUGUAUUGGAUUUCUGUCUACUGUAGAAGGUGGUAUAUCUUGGAGAAGAGGAACCUUUUGCUCAUCAUCAAUCUCUCGAGCUUCUUCGUUGAUUGCACUGACAUCCAUUGUACUAUGUCUCUCUUCCUAUAUCUUUUUUUUUAUCACUAUAUGUUAUACUUUUGACAGGUCUUUGAAAGACUGAAUGCCAAUGCCUUAUAAGAGAGAGAGUAUUGUAAGAAACUGCGUUGAGUAGAGCAAAAGGGAUGGGAGGGCAGCUAAGUAAUGCCUUGCAAGAAAGAAGAAACUGAGUUGUAUUUGAGGUAAAGCUUACUUUAUUAGAAUCAUGGGAAAGUUGCUCCUGUAAUUUAGUUAAGAAGGGUGUUAUAUUAUCCAAUGAGCUUGGUAAUGACACCCUUGUUUACUAACAGUUGCAAAUAUUUAAGAGCUAUGGAUUUCUCAAUUUGUCAUCAGUUAAAAAGAUGAGAGACCUUUCGCAAGAGAUUAAUCGUGAUCGUUCUCUUCCGUACUAGCAUACGUGGGAUUCAAUUGGUGUUUGUGGACUAAGUAGAGGAGCAACAAGUGGGGCUCUUAGAUCUUCGAAGCUUACAUACGAACGGAAGAACACGCUACAAGGGCAUACGGCUCAUUGAGAAGGUCUUUUUUUGGAUUCCUUUUUGCUGAAGUUAUGGUAAUAAUCAAUUGGUUAAAGACAUUAGAAUUAUGUUAUACAGAAUGAAUGUUAUUCAUGCCAAAUUUUUAGGCCGCGGAGGUACAAAACUCUUCUGGUUAUUACUAUAAUGUUUGUACAUUAAUUUCAUUUUCCCUUGUACGGUAUGUUCUCCAUAAAAUCAGCUUGGCUGUUUUGUUGCAUUUACUAAAAAAAAAUUGUUGUUAGUGUUGCGUAGGUGUUGCUUUUAUUCUAAUGUCUCUUAGUAUCUUGCUAAAUAGACAAUGUUAUAAAAUUAUUUC
This is an RNA transcript of Spinacia oleracea (spinach), 4229 nucleotides long. It is a transcript of the gene named pentatricopeptide repeat-containing protein At5g46100, with no coding region annotated. The transcript has 4 exons. Lineage: Eukaryota; Viridiplantae; Streptophyta; Magnoliopsida; Caryophyllales; Amaranthaceae. The record is from RefSeq and is a predicted model, not a curated record.